UUUGAUUUCUUAAAUAUUCUUUUAACAGUCAACUGUGAUAUGCCUACAAUUCUAUUUACAUGGUAUUGUAGCCUGAAAAAUUGGAAUAAGGAGAUUGUCUUCUAAUGAUUCUUUAUUGCAGAGUAUUUGCACAUUAAGCAACAUUCUUUUGGAAGUUCUACUGAAAGUUUUUUACUGCAUUAUCAUCUGUCAGAACUUGUUGGCAGUACUGGAUCAAUCAUGUAAAUAAAUAUGGAAAAAAUCAAUGCCAAAAAGUAAAAUAGCGCAGUACAGUUUGCCCUCAUAUAGUGUAGGAAAUAUAUCUUGCAGCACAGAUUUGUAUAAUGCCCAUUGCACUAGUUGCAUGGACUAUAUAACAUGGAUAAUGUAUAUAAAGAUAUUGUAUUUUAAAAUGUUUAGUUCUCAACAGUUUUAGCAAAAUUAAAAACUUACAAACGAUUUUCGUCGAUCAGAUAUUUGAUAACUGUUGAUUUGUAAUAAAAAGCAAAUGUUUAUUGCAUUUCCAUGACCAUUUUAAUAACAGUUCUUCCAUCGUUCGUGUUAUACGAAUUCAUGUUAUAUGGGGGUUUAUUUAUUAAUACGUACAAUCGAACGAGAAAGCACACGAUCCUGAAUGUUGCUGAUGAAAUCCUAUAUAUCUUAUUCUUUUAUCCUUUGGCAAUCUGCAUAACAGAUUCCUCAAUGGCUGCAAUAUCUCAGCUUCAUACCAAAUUCCAGGAGAAAUUCAAAGAUUUUUCUGGCUCUUAACUGUGGACAGACAGUAUUAAAUUAAAAUUGUGUAUCAGCAAAACCAUGUUUACAAUGAAGUUAUUUUCAAUUUAAAGGAAAAAUUAACCAUUUUAUAUUUCUUUAUGGAAACUGAUGGAAGGUCCGUUUGUUUUAAGUAAUUUGUCAGAAAAAUUGUAUUCCAUGAGAGCAGAUUCUCAAAGAAUACAAUUUUAACUCUUAAACGUGCCAACAUUCAAAAAACG
This 971-nucleotide long non-coding RNA is filed under the name Androctonus crassicauda. The record is from RNAcentral. Lineage: Eukaryota; Metazoa; Arthropoda; Arachnida; Scorpiones; Buthidae.